UAAACGUUAUUGGAAAAAAAGUAAACAAAAAGGCUUGGAGAAAAAAACGGCAGGAAGUUUUUCAGUAAGUUUUGCAAAAGUGAUUCGCAAAACGUUGUUGCGAGGGUGGGAUUCUUUCAGUUUACGAAGGAAAAUUGAAAUUGUGCAGCGAUAACCGAGAAGUUGCAGCCUCCAUUUUGAUCAAGACGACUUGUAUAUCGACACCGGUGGCAAUGUAAAACACCGCAAAAUGCAUUUCCAAUCUACAAGUUGGCACAGCCAGCAGCUGAAUGGGCUCAGGAUACUUUUGGAGAUUGCAUGGAAUCGUCCUCUUCGACUGCACCUCGACGUUGGAUUUAUUUGGAGGGAAUUCAUCCGGCCGGUUAAUGCUGAGAGCGAGGUGUCCUCGAGUACCCGGCAUGAACCAGCCAAACUGGCUACAACGCAACGACCCAAGACAUAACGACCGGGUUACAAACCAUUCUCGUCUGUCUGUCCGAAAUCGAUCGGAUGGAUUCGAUGGAAAAGUGCAAACCUUUUGCGGUACGUCAUUUUCAGCAGAUGGGAGUAAAACGUUCGCUACUGCCAGUGAUUGCCAAUACCGAGGAGGUUUACUACCGGAGACAACUGCAUUUCAGUCCGACCGUAUCGGGCGAUGUUGUGAACGAAGUGACCUCCGGGAACUGAGUCACCAGUGCGACCAGAUUACGCAUCAGUCUCGCCGAGCCAGGAACCGCCCACUCCGACGCUACUAUCGUUGAUAACCAUCGGAACUUGAUCGAAACCCUAGAACCGAUAAUUUUAUGGAAGUUAAUAAAAACUGUAAUCUGCUGUUCAAUCAAACCUUGAAAAAUGUUGAUCACUUAAAUUGAAUCAUUAAAAAUACAACAGA
Molecule: long non-coding RNA, 871 nt
Organism: Culex quinquefasciatus (southern house mosquito)
Lineage: Eukaryota; Metazoa; Arthropoda; Insecta; Diptera; Culicidae
Exons: 3
Source: RefSeq, a predicted model, not a curated record